UGCCGAAGUGGCGGAAUUGGCAGACGCAUCAGACUCAAAAUCUGACGUUGGAAACAUCGUGGGGGUUCGAGUCCCUUCUUCGGCACCAA
Molecule: transfer RNA, 89 nt
Filed under: Peptoniphilus lacrimalis 315-B
Lineage: Bacteria; Bacillati; Bacillota; Tissierellia; Tissierellales; Peptoniphilaceae
Description: tRNA-Leu
Rfam family: tRNA
About the family: Transfer RNA (tRNA) molecules are approximately 80 nucleotides in length. Their secondary structure includes four short double-helical elements and three loops (D, anti-codon, and T loops). Further hydrogen bonds mediate the characteristic L-shaped molecular structure. tRNAs have two regions of fundamental functional importance: the anti-codon, which is responsible for specific mRNA codon recognition, and the 3' end, to which the tRNAs corresponding amino acid is attached (by aminoacyl-tRNA synthetases). tRNAs cope with the degeneracy of the genetic code in two manners: having more than one tRNA (with a specific anti-codon) for a particular amino acid; and 'wobble' base-pairing, i.e. permitting non-standard base-pairing at the 3rd anti-codon position.
Source: RNAcentral